GAGUAAUUUCAGAUGGCUGACAUCCAGAGGGAACUAGGGGACAGGAGAAGAAGAAGCUGGAGCAAGCUCAUGAUCCAGGGGAAGACUUCUCGUUAGGAAGUAAUUCCCAGAUUGAGAUGCAAAUGUUGAGAAGAGUCAACCAGACAGAAGAGGAGAUGAGUGUUCCGGCAGAGGAAGCUGUGAUGCUGAAACUUCAUAGGUGGCUGAAACUUGCAGUCUUCAGGUUGAGAAUUCCUGUCCCUCUGUGUCCAGCAGACAAGUGCUACCUGAAGGCCAUGACGAAUUGAGACAAAAUUCUAACACUGCUACGUUAUUGAGAGAAAGGAUGAGAAGGAGCCCAGAUCUGGAAUCAGCCAUUUUUCUAAGGAGCCCUGCUUUCUUU
This 382-nucleotide long non-coding RNA is filed under the name Homo sapiens (human). Its description in RNAcentral is "HSALNT0317328". The record is from RNAcentral. Lineage: Eukaryota; Metazoa; Chordata; Mammalia; Primates; Hominidae.